UGGGCGCUGUAGCAUUGCUCCAAUUCAAUU
RNAcentral lists this non-coding RNA (30 nucleotides) under Rattus norvegicus (Norway rat). Lineage: Eukaryota; Metazoa; Chordata; Mammalia; Rodentia; Muridae. The record is from RNAcentral.